RNAcentral lists this long non-coding RNA (899 nucleotides) under Callithrix jacchus (white-tufted-ear marmoset). Its description in RNAcentral is "lncRNA (ENSCJAG00000051688.2)". Lineage: Eukaryota; Metazoa; Chordata; Mammalia; Primates; Cebidae. The record is from RNAcentral.
UAGUGGAGCAGGCCAGUGGCAUGGGCCAGAUACAGUCGGGGAGACAGAUAACCCGUCGAUUGGGAGGUCUCCAUCCAGAGAUCAUUUUCAGAAUUUGGGAGACCAUUUCCCCUGUCUUACAACUAUAUUCAAUCUGAGUCAGUUAUGAGGCAUUUCUUUUAUAAAGGGAGUUAAAUGCUUUUGUAACAGUAUGCUUGGUUUAAGGUUUAUGAAAGUUGUUGCAACUAUGCUGAGGUGGCUUUGUCUCCUGGAAAUCCCUUGACCAGAGUUGGAAAUCCCCAGCCCAGGUUGCAUCAUACAGCUAAGUGACACAUAGUGUCACCUGAGUGAGAUGGGAGUAGGCCUAAUGGCUAUGAUUAAUCUUGUAAUCACAAUAUGUCUCUUCAAGCAGACUACACUGAAGAGUUUCCUGUGAUGAUUGUUCAGGACACCAACAGCCCUUGCACAGAUGUCAUUGUUGCUAUCGUGCUGGAGUUUGAGAAGCCUUCUUCCAAACAUGAUUUGAUUUUAAGAAUAGAAUUAAGCCUUGAAAUAUGGUGAAGACUUCCUUUGUGUGAAACUAGGUUUGGACCUGCAAUUAAUUGACUAGUUUCCUCUGUUUAGAAGAGAACAUUUUUUUCUAAACUUCCCUCUAUUUUCUGGAAGCUGAAAGAGGACAAUGCCAGGACCACAUCUGGCAUCAACCAUAUAGAAAAGGGCAAAGUGGAAGGGGAUUUGGAAGCUUCUUUAACAACUUUGCAGGUAUGGUUUAUCUUUGCAUUUGUUUAAGCAUUAAUAAUUUCCUUCAAUAAUGUUUUGUAGCUGUCAGUGUUGAGAACAUUUUUCUUAGCUUUUUCGUAAGAAUCAUUUUUAAAUUUAACAUUUGUUUAUUACUAGUAUAUAGAAAUACUUCCGAUAUA